UCUCUCUGGCUUUGGUUUUGAAAUCCUCGAUCACUUUUCGAAACAGGGUCACCGUGAAGAGGCCGCCCUCGUUGUCCUCGGCAAUCAGUCUGGUGGAGAGAAGCAUCUGUUCACCGGGAGCCUCCGCACACCCGAGGUCCAGCCGCCAGGGGACAUUCACCUGCAAUCGCUUGCUUCAUGCCCAGUGGAACUCGGGCUCCAGACAGGUCAUGGUAUUUUUAGCACAUGGUUCAAGGCUAUUGCAGCAGCAGAUGGGCCAAGGGACAGCUCGGAGACCAUCUGUAGCCUGGGCGCCCUGGCCACGGUUAUCAGCUGAUGUAUUAGCUCUGGCGAACGGCUCUCAAGCACUCGGCCAAGGCCAAGGCCUCAGGGCCUGGCAUAAAGCCUGAGAGUGUAGUAGGUGCUUAAUACACGUUUAUCGGAAGAAGAAUAACGAACAAAGGAGGCAGGAACAGCUUCCCCCCAUCCCCCUUCACUCAGGGGAGUGAUCAAUAGAUCAGCACUGCG
Molecule: long non-coding RNA, 507 nt
Organism: Mirounga angustirostris (Northern elephant seal)
Lineage: Eukaryota; Metazoa; Chordata; Mammalia; Carnivora; Phocidae
Exons: 3
Source: RefSeq, a predicted model, not a curated record